UACGGGGGGAGCAAGCGUUGUUCGGAUUUACGGGGCGUAAAGGGCGCGUAGGCGUCCAGCACAAGUCAGUUGUGAAAUCUCCGAGCUUAACUCGGAAAGGUCAACUGAUACUGUGCGGCUAGAGUGCGGAAGGGGCAACUGGAAUUCUUGGUGUAGCGGUGAAAUGCGUAGAUAUCAAGAGGAACACCUGCGGCGAAGGCGGGUUGCUGGGCCGACACUGACGCUGAGGCGCGAAAGCUAGGGGAGCGAACGGG
Molecule: ribosomal RNA, 254 nt
Filed under: uncultured bacterium
Lineage: Bacteria
Description: partial 16S ribosomal RNA
Rfam family: Bacterial small subunit ribosomal RNA
Source: RNAcentral